Cyprinus carpio carpio is the source of this 314-nucleotide long non-coding RNA. NCBI's taxonomy places the organism in Eukaryota, Metazoa, Chordata, Actinopteri, Cypriniformes, Cyprinidae. The record is from Ensembl.
CUCAGUCAUUAAAUGAAAAGGCGUCAUGCCUCAGACUAAAAGGCUUCAGUCAUUGGACAAAACGGCAUCGCGCCUCAGACUGAAAAGCUUCAGGUCUCAGGAAAAAUGACGUCAGGUGUCAGGUCUCAUACAAUUAGGCAUCAGACGAAACGGACUCAGACAAAAAGGCAUCAGACGAAACGGACUCAGACAAAAAGGCAUCAGACGAAACGGACUCAGGUGGAGUAUCGCGUUGCCCCGCCCCAGGUGACGUCACACGCACGCGGUUCAGAGGAAGUGGUAUAUAACGGUUGAUUGAUGGCAAAAGGAGUUAA